This 256-nucleotide ribosomal RNA is filed under the name uncultured bacterium. RNAcentral describes it as "partial 16S ribosomal RNA". It matches the Rfam family "Bacterial small subunit ribosomal RNA", at positions 524 to 776 of the family's 1533-position model. The record is from RNAcentral.
UACGUAGGGUGCAAGCGUUGUCCGGAAUUAUUGGGCGUAAAGAGCUCGUAGGCGGUCUGUCGCGUCCGUUGUGAAAAACUCGAGGCUCAACCUCGGGCUUGCAGUGGAUACGGGGCAGACUGGAGGUAUGCAGGGGGAGAACGGAAUUCCUGGUGUAGCGGUGAAAAUGCGCAGAUAUCAGGAGGAACACCGGUGGCGAAGGCGGUUCUCUGGGCAUGUCCUGACGUGAGGAGCGAAAGUGUGGGGAGCGAACAGG